RNAcentral lists this ribosomal RNA (729 nucleotides) under Lentilactobacillus buchneri. RNAcentral's name for it is "bacterial SSU rRNA". It matches the Rfam family "Bacterial small subunit ribosomal RNA", at positions 9 to 694 of the family's 1533-position model. The record is from RNAcentral. Lineage: Bacteria; Bacillati; Bacillota; Bacilli; Lactobacillales; Lactobacillaceae.
GAGUUUGAUCAUGGCUCAGGACGAACGCUGGCGGCGUGCCUAAUACAUGCAAGUCGAACGCGUCUCCGUUAAUGAUUUUAGGUGCUUGCACUUGAAAGAUUUAACAUUGAGACGAGUGGCGAACUGGUGAGUAACACGUGGGUAACCUGCCCUUGAAGUAGGGGAUAACACUUGGAAACAGGUGCUAAUACCGUAUAACAACCAAAACCACCUGGUUUUGGUUUAAAAGACGGCUUCGGCUGUCACUUUAGGAUGGACCCGCGGCGUAUUAGCUUGUUGGUAAGGUAACGGCCUACCAAGGCGAUGAUACGUAGCCGACCUGAGAGGGUAAUCGGCCACAUUGGGACUGAGACACGGCCCAAACUCCUACGGGAGGCAGCAGUAGGGAAUCUUCCACAAUGGACGAAAGUCUGAUGGAGCAACGCCGCGUGAGUGAUGAAGGGUUUCGGCUCGUAAAACUCUGUUGUUGGAGAAGAACAGGUGUCAGAGUAACUGUUGACAUCUUGACGGUAUCCAACCAGAAAGCCACGGCUAACUACGUGCCAGCAGCCGCGGUAAUACGUAGGUGGCAAGCGUUGUCCGGAUUUAUUGGGCGUAAAGCGAGCGCAGGCGGUUUUUUAGGUCUGAUGUGAAAGCCUUCGGCUUAACCGGAGAAGUGCAUCGGAAACCGGGAGACUUGAGUGCAGAAGAGGACAGUGGAACUCCAUGUGUAGCGGUGAAAUGCGUAGA